AUGCUUACUUUGGCAGCAUAUAUACUACAACUGGAAUCAUACAGAGAAGAUUAGCAUGGCCCCUGUGCAAGGAUGACACGCAAAUUCGUGAAGUGUUCCAUAUUUUUU
RNAcentral lists this small nuclear RNA (108 nucleotides) under Pongo abelii (Sumatran orangutan). Lineage: Eukaryota; Metazoa; Chordata; Mammalia; Primates; Hominidae. The record is from RNAcentral.